Molecule: ribosomal RNA, 256 nt
Filed under: uncultured bacterium
Lineage: Bacteria
Description: partial 16S ribosomal RNA
Rfam family: Bacterial small subunit ribosomal RNA
Source: RNAcentral
UACGUAGGGGGGCGAGCCGUUAGUCCGGAAUCGAUUGGGCGUAAAGAGCGUGUAGGCGGCUUGGCAAGUCUGACGUGAAAGCCCGCGGCUCAACCGCGGAUUGUCGUUGGAAACUGCCUCGCUAGAGUCCGGAAGAGGAGAGCGGAAUUCCUGGUGUAGCGGUGGAAUGCGCAGAUAUCAGGAGGAACACCAAUUGCGAAGGCAGCUCGCUGGGACGUUACUGACGCUGAGACGCGAAAGCGUGGGAGCGAACAGG